AAAAAAAGAAGUUCGAUAUUUCUGUCCGACCUUGUGACUCUUCAUCUGCUUCCGGAAGAGCAAUGAUAUGAAAUUUCGAGGACUUGCGGAUUUGAGAGCGUUCCGGGUCUCGAGGGAUCGUCGUGCAACAUACAAUUAUUUUAGCUUAAAAUUUCUAGCAAUCGUCUCUACAUGCCGCGGCGGAGCUGGAGGGUCGUCCAGCAUGGCCCAGAUCUCGAAGGCCUCCCAGCAUCGUCGUCGGGUGAAGAAUCGUCUUCUGGGUUUUGAAGUCUCGAAGGGGUCGAGGACUUCUCAUCUGGAUAAAGUUCGGUUGCUUUCCUUCCGCGUUUUUCUCACGGGUGUUUCGGUUGCUGGGAAAAUGUGGGUUUUUAGGGAGACACAGGGCUUGAUGGCGCCGGCGGGUGAAGACGGCGGCAACGAGGGAUGACCAGUAAGAUGGAACCGAGAAAGAAGAUGAAGAGCUACAAGAAAGAAAAUAAAAGGAAAAAGGAGUGGAGAGAUUCAGGUGAUUUUGCC
Molecule: long non-coding RNA, 516 nt
Filed under: Eucalyptus grandis
Lineage: Eukaryota; Viridiplantae; Streptophyta; Magnoliopsida; Myrtales; Myrtaceae
Description: long non-coding RNA (EGRA_LNC003864)
Source: RNAcentral